This is a long non-coding RNA of Diceros bicornis minor, 249 nucleotides long. RefSeq lists it as uncharacterized. The record is from RefSeq and is a predicted model, not a curated record. Lineage: Eukaryota; Metazoa; Chordata; Mammalia; Perissodactyla; Rhinocerotidae. The transcript has 3 exons.
AAUACCGAGUCAUGAGGGAGAUCCUGCUGCUCCAGGUGACUGCAAAGAAUUACAACCUAGAGCCCGAGGAGUGAUUUGGGGCCUGGUUCCAGGACAUGGAGCUGCUCAACGAGAGUGAUAGCUACAGCCUGUCCUGCCAGCUGGAGCCCCAGACCUAGUUGGCCAGCAGAAUACUCAAGGCCAAGAAGAACCAGCCAUCAUUAAGGUCAGGGCCCCCAGGCCCCAACACCAAGCCCCGUACCAGUGGCC